Molecule: ribosomal RNA, 321 nt
Filed under: uncultured Prevotella sp.
Lineage: Bacteria; Pseudomonadati; Bacteroidota; Bacteroidia; Bacteroidales; Prevotellaceae
Description: partial 16S ribosomal RNA
Source: RNAcentral
GGAGUUUGGUCCGUGUCUCAGUACCAAUGUGGGGGACCUUCCUCUCAGAACCCCUACUGAUCGAUGGCUCGGUGGGCCGUUACCCCGCCGACUACCUAAUCAGACGCAUCCCCAUCCCAUACCGGUAAACCUUUGGUUCAACUCAGAUGUCCUCGUCGAACAACAUAGGGUAUUAAUCCGACUUUCGCCGGGCUAUCCCCUACGUACAGGGAAGGUUGGAUACGCGUUACUCACCCGUGCGCCGGUCGCCAUCGGAAGUUGCAAGCAACUCCCAUGAUGCCCCUCGACUUGCAUGUGUUAAGCCUGUAGCUAGCGUUCAUC